GGACUAUAGUGCAGCGGUAGAGCAUCUGCUUUGCAUGUAGAAGGUCGCAGGUUCAAUCCCUAGCAUCUCCA
Molecule: non-coding RNA, 71 nt
Organism: Podarcis lilfordi (Lilford's wall lizard)
Lineage: Eukaryota; Metazoa; Chordata; Lepidosauria; Squamata; Lacertidae
Source: the annotation of a GenBank genome assembly